ACAUGCAAGUCGAACGAGAACCCAUUCUUCCGAUGGGGGACAGUGGCGAACGGGUGAGUAACACGUUGGUGACCUGCCCCGAAGUGAGGGACAAUCCUGCGAAAGCGGGGCUAAUACCGCAUGUGCUCCAGGGGGUUAGAUGCCCCUGGAGUAAAGCUCCGGCGCUUCGGGAGGGACCUGCGGCCUAUCAGCUAGUUGGUGGGGUAACGGCCCACCAAGGCUAAGACGGGUAGGGGGCGGAGAGCGUGGCCCCCCACAAUGGAACUGAGACACGGUCCAUACUCCUACGGGGGGCAGCAGUGAGGAAUAUUGCGCAAUGGGGGAAACCCUGACGCAGCAACGCCGCGUGGGUGAUGAAGGCCUUCGGGUCGUAAAACCCUUUUCUGGGGGAAGAGAAAGGACGGUACCUCAGGAAUAAGUCCCGGCUAACUACGUGCCAGCAGCCGCGGUAAAACGUAGGGGGCGAGCGUUAUCCGGAUUUACUGGGCGUAAAGCGCGUGCGGGCGGCUUGGUAGGUUGGACGUGAAAGCUCUUGGCUCAACUGAGAGAGGUCGUUCAAUACCGCCAAGCUUGAGGGCGGAAGAGGGGAGCGGAAUUCCCGGUGUAGUGGUGGAAUGCGUAGAUAUCGGGAGGAACACCCGUGGCGAAGGCGGCUCCCUGGUCCGCACCUGACGCUAAGACGCGAAAGCGUGGGGAGCGAACGGGAUUAGAUACCCCGGUAGUCCACGCCGUAAACGAUGGAUGCUAGGUGUAGGUGGUAUUGACCCCAUCUGUGCCGUAGCUAACGCGUUAAGCAUCCCGCCUGGGGACUACGGCCGCAAGGUUAAACUCAAAGGAAUUGACGGGGGCCCGCACAAGCAGCGGAGCGUGUGGUUUAAUUCGAUGCUACGCGAAGAACCUUACCUGGGCUUGACAUGCACGUAGUAGUGAAGCGAAAGUGGAACGACCCUUCGGGGAGCGCGCACAGGUGCUGCAUGGCUGUCGUCAGCUCGU
This 993-nucleotide ribosomal RNA is filed under the name uncultured bacterium. Its description in RNAcentral is "bacterial SSU rRNA". It matches the Rfam family "Bacterial small subunit ribosomal RNA", at positions 53 to 1063 of the family's 1533-position model. The record is from RNAcentral.